Long non-coding RNA from Cydia pomonella (codling moth), 235 nucleotides. RefSeq lists it as uncharacterized. NCBI's taxonomy places the organism in Eukaryota, Metazoa, Arthropoda, Insecta, Lepidoptera, Tortricidae. The record is from RefSeq and is a predicted model, not a curated record. The transcript has 3 exons.
GAGAAAAAAAGUUAGGUAAUCUGAGACUCAAGUAUUUUGACACGAAGCUUUUUGAGAUCUAAGAAUUUUGGUAAAUGGGUAAAAUGAAAUUAAGGUGCAAUGAAACCAAAGCGCAUUUCUUUCAUUUUCAGGAUAGAAAGGCUACAACUGAAGCGCCAAGAAUAUGCCCCGAGAACUCCGGCAGCGGCGGUGGCGGCGGCGGCGGCGGUGGCGGCGGUGGCAGCGGUGGCGGUGG